UUUAUACAUUCUUUCCAAUUGACUUGGCUGAGUGAUAAAGCCAGCAAAGAGCUUACUUUUAUUCAGCAAUCAUUUUGAUCUAAAAUACUUUGUGUACCAGUUACGUAAUUGAAAUUUCUGGUUAUUAGAAGUACGGGGGUGAAUUCUGCCCUCUAAUGUAUGCACAAGUUCAACUUUCCUUUAGGAUCAUCUGGGUUAAUGUACGUGUGUGUCAGGACAGAGUUUAAUAUUAUCUCUGGUGAACAGCGAACAACGUUAGGUCAAACAAGCCAGUUUCAUUUAAUACUAAGCAUGUUUAAGAAGAAAUGUCAGAGUUCAGUUCCGCUGGCUCGCGAUGUAAAUCAGGAAUCAGUGAAGCCAGACACCUACCCUGCUCUUAUACUAAUUUUGCACUAGGAUUACUCUGCUGAAAUAAAUCAGUUUUUUACCAGAAAUCCACGCUAUGAGCAGUUCAUAAACUUUAUGCAAACAAGGAAAUCAUGCUGUGUAGGACUGUUCCAAAGUGAUCCUACAUCAUUCUGCAUAUCUUCUGAUUUAUACUCAUCUUAAACUGGCACAAGGUCAGACAGCUUGGCACAGGAGAGUUCCAAACCAGAGGGACCCGAAGAAACUUGAGGACUAUGUUAACAGAAGUCUCAUGAAGGUCAUCAAGGAGAAAUGCAAAGAUUUGCACCUGGAGCAGAGUAAACACAAUCAAGUAAUCAACAGGCUGAGCAGCAACCUUGUUGAAAGGACUUUGGGUAUCUAGGGAACACGAGGUGGACUAAUAGCCAACUUGGUGCUUUUAUCACAAGUGCAGAAAACGGCAUCAUGGGUUACACUAGGAGGAGUGUGUCCAGCGGAAUGAAGGAAGAUGCACCUGCAUUCAGCAGUUGUGGAGACAACGUGGUGAUUUAACAAUAUCCUACAAGUAUUUGAAGGACAUUUACAGUAACAAUAAGUCCAAACUCUUCUCAUUAGUAGCAGACAAUUUAAGAAGGAGUAAGAGCAACUUGUUGCAGCUUGGGAAAUUCACCCUGGACAUUAAGAAAAAAAUCCUCAAUAGGAGAGUAGAACAACACUGGAAAUCACAUCUAGGUGGAAGAUCUGUCUUUGGAAGGUUUCAAGAUUUGCCUCAAGUUAACCUCAGCUACUCUGAUCUACUGCUGUUAAUAGUCAUGCAUUGAUGAGGAUAUUGCAAUAAACCUCCAGACAUCA
Long non-coding RNA from Anas platyrhynchos (mallard), 1197 nucleotides. RefSeq lists it as uncharacterized. Lineage: Eukaryota; Metazoa; Chordata; Aves; Anseriformes; Anatidae. The record is from RefSeq and is a predicted model, not a curated record.